GUCAUCGCUCCCACAAACACAAACCCAGCAAAAAACAGCAGAGUGAUGAAGAUCAACAGAAGCAGUGAGCUCAAAACCAGAAGCGUCACUGAUGCCAAGAAGCUGAAACCCAUCAAGAACACAAGCGACCCUCCAAUUUCCAAGCCUCCCAUGGCUGCCAAGACCACCUUGGUGUUUUGGGAUUUCGUUUGGUCUUGAUCUCAUCAGUUUUCGAUCGUCUUCACCUAAUCAAUUUUCGAUCAUCUCACCCCGCUUCGAACUCGCCGCCUCCUCCUUCUCCCAUUCCAAAAUCCCAAUCUCGUGCGCUUUCAAUCCUUGCUGCGAAAUCGGCGCCAAGAACUGAGCGAUUUGGGGAGGGGGGCACUUUUCCUGGGAUUCGAAGUGGUGACCAAGGGGGCCCUUUUCUUGUGGCUUUUUGAAAUGUUUUGUUUUUUUGAGGGAGCUUUUUUAACAUGAAAAAGGACAUGGAGUUGUUAUAAACUGCCUUUGGUUUCAUUUGAUUGAUGUUUUUGGGUUGAUAUUCAGACAUAUAUGUUUAGUACAAACUGCCUUUGAUUUUAAAACCCGCAGCAUCGCGCGGGCACCUUUUGCUAGUAUAGUGACUAUAAAUAUUGUUAAACUAGCAUGUACAUGUAUAACUAAAACAAUGGUGGAAAAGUAUAAAUUGGGUACAAAAUAGUCUUUUCGGACGACCACUAGAUGCCCUCGCAAAUAGACAUCCUCUUGCGAGAGCUACUGAUUUCCCUUGGCAAUAAAUAAUCAUUUCCGACAACAUCUAAUUCCCGUCAAAACUCCUUCGGAAAUGGUUGUGGUUUUCGACAACGUGUGGGUUGCAUACAAGCAUGGGAUGCCUCUUGAAGGAGGCAAAAUUGCUGAUUCUGAGCCUGUGGAUUUAUUUUCCAGUAGUGCUCAUAAUAUUCCAAAGGCUCAAGCUCAGGCUCAUCAUGUUCAUGAUGAAGAUUCUAAUCACAACCAGUCCCAGAUGAAACAAGAUUAUCAUACUAGAAGAGAAUGUGGUCCACAAUCUGCUGCUGAAUAGAAGGCUUUCAACUUUGUUUUUUGUUCCUUUUUUUGUUCUUUCUCUUUUAUAUAUAUAUAUAUAUAUAUUUCGAAAUUCCUUCUUCUGCUGCUGGUUUCUUUGUUAUGUGCUCGUUGUUGUAUGCUUUGAGUUGUAAGUUUUCUUCUUUCUUUUUUCCUCUCCUUGUGCCUUGUGUGUAUUUGAGAGAUAGAGAAAGAAAGAGGCGACAAUUGGAAUGAAAUAUUGGACAAGAA
Non-coding RNA from Prunus avium (sweet cherry), 1272 nucleotides. The record is from RefSeq and is a predicted model, not a curated record. NCBI's taxonomy places the organism in Eukaryota, Viridiplantae, Streptophyta, Magnoliopsida, Rosales, Rosaceae.